RNAcentral lists this small nuclear RNA (107 nucleotides) under Jaculus jaculus (lesser Egyptian jerboa). Lineage: Eukaryota; Metazoa; Chordata; Mammalia; Rodentia; Dipodidae. The record is from RNAcentral.
GUGCUCGCUUUGGCAGCACAUAUAUUAAAAUUGGAACGAUACAGAGAAGUUUAGCAUGGCCCCUGUGCAAGGAUGACAUGCAAAUUUGUGAAGCGUUCCAUAUUUUU